Molecule: ribosomal RNA, 253 nt
Filed under: uncultured bacterium
Lineage: Bacteria
Description: partial 16S ribosomal RNA
Rfam family: Bacterial small subunit ribosomal RNA
Source: RNAcentral
UACGUAGGGUGCGAGCGUUGUCCGGAAUUAUUGGGCGUAAAGGGCUCGUAGGCGGUCUGUCACGUCGGGAGUGAAAACACGGGGCUUAACCCCGUGCCUGCUUCCGAUACGGGCAGACUAGAGGUAUGCAGGGGAGAACGGAAUUCCUGGUGUAGCGGUGAAAUGCGCAGAUAUCAGGAGGAACACCGGUGGCGAAGGCGGUUCUCUGGGCAUUACCUGACGCUGAGGCGCGACAGCGUGGGGAGCAAACAGG